Molecule: long non-coding RNA, 2040 nt
Filed under: Equus asinus (donkey)
Lineage: Eukaryota; Metazoa; Chordata; Mammalia; Perissodactyla; Equidae
Description: lncRNA (ENSEASG00005034150.1)
Source: RNAcentral
AGAGUGGGCUGGAGUUGGGCAUCUCCUUCCCCCCAGGUGAGCUAGGCUCUGAUAAAUCCCCAGCAGGUUAGGCUCUGGUUAACUAGUUUCCCUGAGGCCAGGUGUUCUUAAGAAGGACAUAGUGCUCUGAUGUAUGUCACAAAGGUUCCUUUCCCCUUCCCCUGCCAGAAGCAGGAGGGGGUUUUUCUCCAACAUAUUGUGGCAAUCUAGUUGAGCUCCUGGAAGUAAAUCUCACAAAACUGUGGUGCCUUGCCGUGACUGGGUCGCCCUCGGGUUUAUAGCUCUCAGUUUUGUCCACACUGAGCCUCCAUCAACUCAUCAAUUACAGCUCUGGCUUUCCUGCCCCGGCCCUGCUUCCUGUGGUGGUUUUAGCUGUGAAUCUCUGCUCUGGAUGAACACGUCUUGUCUUUUCGACUCUGUUCUCAUUGCAACAAACACAGGAAAGGAGAAGAAAGGGACACAGCCCCCGGGCUCACUUGUGAGACCUUUUUUAGAAGAGCAUGUCGGUGAACCGGCUAACAGCGUGAACUUCGCCAUCAGACAAAUCUCAGAUCAGAAAACCAGGUGACCAUUUGUUGGAGGAAACUGUUUCUGGUGCCUGACAUAUUGUUAUUGAAGACUACAUGAUCCUUGCAGUUAUGUGGGAAGGUCUGACAAUCCCGAGAGCCUGAUGAUAAUCUUUAUAUUUCAUACCUUUUUCAAAUUCUGGUCUAUGUCAGUUUUUGUGAUUACAACAAUUUAAAGCAGAAUCACCAUAUGUUGAUAGUAAAACUGCUUCUCUAGUGGAUAAUUUUUACUUCUAAGAUCUGGGACUUGGGCAAAAAGUCUGUUUUCUGCAAAGUAAAGUACUUAAUUUAAGAAAUAUCAUAUUAUUCAGCUUUCAUUCUUCGCAUGGGAAAUUCAUCUAUUCCCCUGAUAACUUCAAGUUGAUUUUCUGAGUAUAUAAACUAGAUGGUGUACUUGGCUAGGGAAGGGGAGCAGAAUUUCAAGAAGUAGUUAAUAUAGGUGUGUAUAGGGGUUCUUUUGUCUCUAAGGUUCUGGAGUUUCUUGCGUCUUUGUUUCUUAUUUUCCUUCUUGAUAAGACCUGCUGUGUGGUUGUUAUGCUUUACUUCUGUGGCACGUUAGGCUCAUAUCUUUGGAGAAUAGUUUACAAUGAAUUUUCACUAUGAAACAUAAAUGAUGGUACAAAACCAAUGCUUUUUCUAAAUUUUUGGCUAAAUUUUCCAGAAAAAGUAUUAUUUUAGUUUUGCCAAAGUGAAGCUCCCAUGUUCUGAUGGCUUCCUGCAUUUUUCCCUGCUGAUUCACAUUUUACCACUAGGAAGGGCUGUGUAUGAACCUGAAAACAUAUAGGUUUCUCUAUGCAAUUCCUUUGUAUAUCACAAAAAGUUUUAAGUAAAUGUAUUUGUUGAGGAUUCCCAUCAUUACCUUUUCUCUGUUCAGAAAACUGCCCAUUUGUUCCAAUUUCUUGUCAUUUUUCAGAUGUAAACAAAUGGUUACCCAAGAAUAACAUUUUUCCCAAAUUAGAAGCAAUGGAUCUUAGGACUCUAGAAAUCAUUUCUUUUAGUAUCUGUCCAAUGGUUGAAUUCAGCUGAAUAUAAGGAUAUCUCAAGGCCUUGGCUCUGAGGCAAACUAUUUACCUUUAGACAGUAUGGUCUGCUAGAGGCGAUGACUGAAGGAGACACUGCCAGAGUUCAUCACAGGUUUUCUUUAAAUAGUUAAAUUCUCUCAUAUUAGGGGGAAAAAACCCUUAGAAAUUAAAUUUGCAUACACUUGUCUGAAUCUAAAAUAAUAUCUAUUGUCAUGGGGUUUAUGAAAAAAUCUCAUUUCUUUGCAGGAUACAAUAUAUUUCUAUGCAGGAAUCUCGUCAUGUCCAAAUUACUCUUUAGAACAAUCUACCUCUUCUCCCUAUUUGGUGAGAUAAAACAGCAUGACGAGGUAUAAACAGCGAAAGGUCUAGAAUAAAGACUAACUUUAUAUCCUACUUUUGCUACUUGCCAAUUCUGGAAAAGUAACCACUCUGAGCCUCAGUUUAUCUUCAAG